Oryctolagus cuniculus (rabbit) is the source of this 2106-nucleotide long non-coding RNA. Lineage: Eukaryota; Metazoa; Chordata; Mammalia; Lagomorpha; Leporidae. The record is from Ensembl.
GCCCCUAGCGCCCCGCGGAGUGACCACUCCCUGACACGUCCAGCCCUGGGGAGGACAGGCUUGUGGAGCUCUGGGUGUAGCAGGAGGGGACGGAGAGGGGACUUGGAGGGUGACACCGUGGGGGCGGGCUUAGGGACAGCUGUGCUGUGACUGGUGUGGAUGGAGGAAGCGGAACAGGGACUCGCCCUUGCUGUGGGGGUCUGUCUUCCGUGGCUGCGUGUGCGUGCCACAGACUGCGACACUUUCAGCACAGGCUCGCUUGGCUCCCAGGGCUGGAGGCCGCGAGGUGCAUGAGCACGGCCCGGCACCUUUUGCUGCGUCACAGCGUGGCGGAGGGCGUCACAGGGGACACAGAGUAGCCAGCCCGCUGGCGUCUCCCUCUUGUGACGAAGCCACCCACUCGCGCCUGGAGUCCUGCCCUCAUGAGCUCACCGAGCCCUAACCACACGCAGGGGCACCAAAACCCACGUGCAUACGCACUGGGGGACUAAGGAGGAAGUCUGGGGGAGGCGUUCCCCACCACAGCGUCUGCCCCAGGGGUGCGCAAUGUAGUUGUCGCCCAAGCGCAUGCGCAGAUGCCCCUACUAUGACUAGAGUAAGGACGCCACCCAGAGGGGAGUCAGUGCAGAGCACGCGGGUUCUGUGGGUGAGGCUGGGGUCUUCGGAGCAGAGAUGGGCCAGAGAAGACCGGGAACAGCAUAGCUGUUGACCCAUUUCCUCUGCUCAGCAAGUGGGGGCUGAGGGCCUCGAUGAAGCUGUCCCGCCAACCCUUCCUGUCCAGCGGAAGAAGCCGGGACCGGUGUCCCCACUGUCAGACGGACUCAGCCACAGAAAUCGCUGCUGCGUUUGAGACAGGCGACGAGGGAGAGACAGCAGCCGGUGCAUCUGUCGUUCUGCUCAGGAAAGCAAACCUCUCCUUAUGUGGCUCUCGUCUCGUCGUUGGCCCGAACCGCUGCUGGGUACAAGGCGGGCUGCACGACGUAGCGGAGGCCCGUGGGCGUGAGGACUUCGUGACUGCCCGAGUUAGAAUCGCUCCUGGGGAGCUGUCACUGGGACCACGGUGUGGUCUGUGCAAAGUGGGGUCGGUGGGGCCAGCCGCAAGCUGACCACCCCUGGGAAGUCUCUCUGAGUCUCCUCUCCCGGUGCCCACAAUGCGUUGUCGCUUCUCCCUGCCUGCCUUUCUCUCUCUUCUCCUGUCGUGGGAUCCUGGUGAGGCCCUGGUGUCUGAAGCUGAGUGUUCAGUUCUCCGUCCAGGUGCCCAGAGACCUUAUCGUUACUGAAAAGCUGGCUCUGGGCAUCUCUGUGCCUGAGAGAUUUUGCUAGAAGUUCCCUCAGUGCACCUGAGCAAGAGUACCAAGCUGGGAGAGCCAGGAGUUAUGUGUAUCUACAUAUAUAUGAUUUAUUUAUUAUUUAUUUGAAAGGCAGGGUUAUGGGAGUGGGGGAGAGAAGGAGCGGGGAUCCUCCAUCUGCUGGUUCACUCCCCAAAUGACCGCAACGGCUGGGACUGUGCCAGGCCGAAGCCAGGAGCUUCAUCUGGAGCUUCUUCUGGGUCUCUCACGCAGGUGCAGGGAUCCAAGCACUCGGGCCAUCUUCAACUGCUUUCCCAGGUGCAUUAGCAGGGAGCUGGAUGGGAAGUGGAGCAGCCAGGACUCGAACCAGUGCCCCCAUGAGAUGCUGCAUUACAGGUGGCGGCUUUAGCCUCUGCACCACAGCGCCGGCCCCAAGUGGGUCAGUUUGGAGGCAUGCCUUUGUAUCAGGCUGUCCUCUGGGGCCAAAUACGACACCACUGACUGGGUAAAUUGUGACAAAAGGAGGCUUUGGCUGACAGUGGCGGAGGCCCAAGAUGCGCUCUGCCUGGUGAGGCUGUUCUUGCUGGCAGAGAACGAGGGGACCCUGGCAUCACAGGGACCGUGUGUGCGUGUGUGUGUGCAGGUGUGCGUGUGUGUGUGCGUGCGUGCGUGCGUGUGACGGCCUCGCUCCAGCUUGUUAGAAAGCCCCGGGGAUUCAGCCCCAAGGACUCCAUCCUAAAGACUCUGUCCCCUCCUUCUCCCUCCCCAAGGCCCCGCCUCACGUCGUCACCAGGGGCAGACUCAAUGUGCCCCUCUC